GAUGAACGCUGGCGGCGUGCCUAAUACAUGCAAGUCGGGCGAACAGACGAGGAGCUUGCUCCUUUGACGUUAGCGGCGGACGGGUGAGUAACACGUGGGUAACCUACCUAUAAGACUGGGAUAACUUCGGGAAACCGGAGCUAAUACCGGAUAAUAUUUCGAACCGCAUGGUUCGAUAGUGAAAGAUGGCUUUGCUAUCACUUAUAGAUGGACCUGCGCCGUAUUAGCUAGUUGGUAAGGUAACGGCUUACCAAGGCGACGAUACGUAGCCGACCUGAGAGGGUGAUCGGCCACACUGGAACUGAGACACGGUCCAGACUCCUACGGGAGGCAGCAGUAGGGAAUCUUCCGCAAUGGGCGAAAGCCUGACGGAGCAACGCCGCGUGAGUGAUGAAGGUCUUCGGAUCGUAAAACUCUGGUAUUAGGGAAGAACAAAUGUGUAAGUAACUGUGCACAUCUUGACGGUACCUAAUCAGAAAGCCACCGCUUACUACGUGCCAGCAGCCGCGGUAAUACGUAAGUGGCAAGCGUUAUCCGGAAUUGUUGGGCGUAAGCGCGCGUAGGUGGUUUUUUAGUCUGAUGUGAAAGCCCACGGCGUUACCGCUGGAGGGUCAUUGGAAACUGGAAAACUUGAGUGCAUAAGAGGAAAGUGGAAUUCCAUGUGUAGCGGUGAAAUGCGCAGAGAUAUGGAGGAACACCAGUGGCGAAGGCGACUUUCUGGUCUGUAACUGACGCUGAUGUGCGAAAGCGUGGGGAUCAAACAGGAUUAGAUACCCUGGUAGUCCACGCCGUAAACGAUGAGUGCUAAGUGUUAGGGGGUUUCCGCCCCUUAGUGCUGCAGCUAACGCAUUAAGCACUCCGCCUGGGGAGUACGACCGCAAGGUUGAAACUCAAAGGAAUUGACGGGGACCCGCACAAGCGGUGGAGCAUGUGGUUUAAUUCGAAGCAACGCGAAGAACCUUACCAAAUCUUGACAUCCUUUGACCCUUCUAGAGAUAGAAGUUUCCCCUUCGGGGGACAAAGUGACAGGUGGUGCAUGGUUGUCGUCAGCUCGUGUCGUGAGAUGUUGGGUUAAGUCCCGCAACGAGCGCAACCCUUAAGCUUAGUUGCCAUCAUUAAGUUGGGCACUCUAAGUUGACUGCCGGUGACAAACCGGAGGAAGGUGGGGAUGACGUCAAAUCAUCAUGCCCCUUAUGAUUUGGGCUACACACGUGCUACAAUGGACAAUACAAAGGGCAGCGAAACCGCGAGGUCAAGCAAAUCCCAUAAAGUUGUUCUCAGUUCGGAUUGUAGUCUGCAACUCGACUACAUGAAGCUGGAAUCGCUAGUAAUCGUAGAUCAGCAUGCUACGGUGAAUACGUUCCCGGGUCU
Molecule: ribosomal RNA, 1371 nt
Filed under: uncultured bacterium
Lineage: Bacteria
Description: bacterial SSU rRNA
Rfam family: Bacterial small subunit ribosomal RNA
Source: RNAcentral